RNAcentral lists this ribosomal RNA (448 nucleotides) under uncultured bacterium. RNAcentral describes it as "bacterial SSU rRNA". It matches the Rfam family "Bacterial small subunit ribosomal RNA", at positions 329 to 793 of the family's 1533-position model. The record is from RNAcentral.
UGCCAGACUCCUACGGGAGGCAGCAGUGGGGGAUAUUGCACAAUGGGGGGAACCCUGAUGCAGCGACGCCGCGUGGGUGAAGAAGUAUUUCGGUAUGUAAAGCCCUAUCGGCAGGGAAGAAAUUGGACGGUACCUGACUAAGAAGCCCCGGCUAACUACGUGCCAGCAGCCGCGGGAAUACGUAGGGGGCAAGCGUUAUCCGGAUUCACUGGGUGUAAAGGGAGCGUAGACGGCCAUGCAAGCCUGGAGUGAAAGGCGGGGGCUCAACCCCCGGACUGCUCUGGAAACUGUACGGCUGGAGUGCAGGAGAGGUAAGUGGAAUUCCUAGUGUAGCGGUGAAAUGCGUAGAUAUUAGGAGGAACACCAGUGGCGAAGGCGGCUUACUGGACUGUAACUGACGUUGAGGCUCGAAAGCGUGGGGAGCAAACAGGAUUAGAUACCCGAGUAC